Molecule: ribosomal RNA, 274 nt
Filed under: uncultured bacterium
Lineage: Bacteria
Description: partial 16S ribosomal RNA
Rfam family: Bacterial small subunit ribosomal RNA
Source: RNAcentral
AUACGAAGGGGGCUAGCGUUGUUCGGAAUUACUGGGCGUAAAGCGCGCGUAGGCGGAUUGGUCAGUUAGGGGGGAAAUCCCAGGGCUUAACCCUGGAACUGCCUCUAAUACUGCCAGUCUUGAGUUCGGGAGAGGUGAGUGGAAUUCCUAGUGUAGAGGUGAAAUUCGUAGAUAUUAGGAAGAACACCAGUGGCGAAGGCGGCUCACUGGCCCGAUACUGACGCUGAGGCGCGAAAGCGUGGGGAGCAAACAGGAUUAGAUACCCUUGUAGUCC